Long non-coding RNA from Etheostoma cragini (Arkansas darter), 93 nucleotides. RefSeq lists it as uncharacterized. Lineage: Eukaryota; Metazoa; Chordata; Actinopteri; Perciformes; Percidae. The transcript has 3 exons. The record is from RefSeq and is a predicted model, not a curated record.
CAGAAAACCCUGUUCACAAACCAAAACAUCUCUAGUGUAGUCCAGCCUUUACUUCCAAGACAAACGUGCAUCACUCUAUAAUACACUUUAUAA